UUAAGUUAAUAAGGGCGCACGGUGGAUGCCUUGGCACUAGAAGCCGAUGAAGGACGUGACUAACGACGAAAUGCUUUGGGGAGCUGUAAGUGAGCAAUGAUCCAGAGAUGUCCGAAUGGGGGAACCCGGCAGGUAAUGCCUGUCACUCAUUACUGUUAAGGUAAUGUAGAGGAAGACGCAGUGAACUGAAACAUCUAAGUAGCUGCAGGAAGAGAAAGCAAAAGCGAUUGCCUUAGUAGCGGCGAGCGAAACGGCAAGAGGGCAAACCGAAGAGUUUACUCUUCGGGGUUGUAGGACUGCAACGUGGACUUAAAGAUUAUAGAAGAACUACCUGGGAAGGUAGGCCAAAGAGAGUAAUAGCCUCGUAUUCGAAAUAGUCUUUAUACCUAGCAGUAUCCUGAGUACGGCGAGACACGAGAAAUCUCGUCGGAAUCUGGGAGGACCAUCUCCCAACCCUAAAUACUCUCUAGUGACCGAUAGUGAACCAGUACCGUGAGGGAAAGGUGAAAAGCACCCCGGGAGGGGAGUGAAAUAGAACCUGAAACCGUGUGCCUACAACAAGUUCGAGCCCGUUAAUGGGUGAGAGCGUGCCUUUUGUAGAAUGAACCGGCGAGUUACGAUAUGAUGCGAGGUUAAGUUGAAGAGACGGAGCCGUAGGGAAACCGAGUCUUAAUAGGGCGCAUUAGUAUCAUGUCGUAGACCCGAAACCAUGUGACCUACCCAUGAGCAGGUUGAAGGUGAGGUAAAACUCACUGGAGGACCGAACCAGGGCACGUUGAAAAGUGCUUGGAUGACUUGUGGGUAGCGGAGAAAUUCCAAACGAACUUGGAGAUAGCUGGUUCUCUCCGAAAUAGCUUUAGGGCUAGCGUCGAUGUUAAGUCUCUUGGAGGUAGAGCACUGUUUGGGUGAGGGGUCCAUCCCGGAUUACCAAUCUCAGAUAAACUCCGAAUGCCAACGAGAUAUAAUCGGCAGUCAGACUGCGAGUGCUAAGAUCCGUAGUCGAAAGGGAAACAGCCCAGACCACCAGCUAAGGUCCCAAAAUAUAUGUUAAGUGGAAAAGGAUGUGGGGUUGCACAGACAACUAGGAUGUUAGCUUAGAAGCAGCUAUUCAUUCAAAGAGUGCGUAAUAGCUCACUAGUCGAGUGACCCUGCGCCGAAAAUGUACCGGGGCUAAAACAUAUUACCGAAGCUGUGGAUACCUUUAUAGGUAUGGUAGGAGAGCGUUCUAUGUGCGAAGAAGGUGUACCGUGAGGAGUGCUGGAGCGCAUAGAAGUGAGAAUGCCGGUAUGAGUAGCGAAAGACAGGUGAGAAUCCUGUCCACCGUAAGACUAAGGUUUCCAGGGGAAGGCUCGUCCGCCCUGGGUUAGUCGGGACCUAAGGAGAGACCGAAAGGUGUAUCCGAUGGACAACAGGUUGAUAUUCCUGUACUAGAGUAUAUAGUGAUGGAGGGACGCAGUAGGCUAACUAAACCAGACGAUUGGAAGUGUCUGGCCAAGCAGUGAGGUGUGAUAUGAGUCAAAUGCUUAUAUCUAUAACAUUGAGCUGUGAUGGGGAGCGAAGUUUAGUAGCGAAGUUAGUGAUGUCACACUGCCGAGAAAAGCUUCUAGCGUUAAUUAUACUCUACCCGUACCGCAAACCGACACAGGUAGUCGAGGCGAGUAGCCUCAGGUGAGCGAGAGAACUCUCGUUAAGGAACUCGGCAAAAUGGCCCCGUAACUUCGGGAGAAGGGGCGCUGACUUAUGGUCAGCCGCAGUGAAUAGGCCCAAGCAACUGUUUAUCAAAAACACAGCUCUCUGCUAAAUCGUAAGAUGAUGUAUAGGGGGUGACGCCUGCCCGGUGCUGGAAGGUUAAGAGGAGUGCUUAGCAAUAGCGAAGGUAUGAAUUGAAGCCCCAGUAAACGGCGGCCGUAACUAUAACGGUCCUAAGGUAGCGAAAUUCCUUGUCGGGUAAGUUCCGACCUGCACGAAUGG
This 1971-nucleotide ribosomal RNA is filed under the name human gut metagenome. RNAcentral describes it as "bacterial LSU rRNA". It matches the Rfam family "Bacterial large subunit ribosomal RNA", at positions 3 to 1999 of the family's 2925-position model. The record is from RNAcentral.